Molecule: ribosomal RNA, 415 nt
Filed under: uncultured archaeon
Lineage: Archaea
Description: bacterial SSU rRNA
Rfam family: Archaeal small subunit ribosomal RNA
Source: RNAcentral
UUCGCCCUUUUCCGGUUGAUCCUGCCGGACCUGACUGCUAUCGGAUUGAUACUGAGCCAUGCGAGUCAUUGUAGCAAUACAAGGCAGACGGCUCAGUAACGCGUAGUCAACCUAACCUAUGGACGGGAAUAACCUCGGGAAACUGAGAAUAAUGCCCGAUAGAACACUAUACCUGGAAUGGUUUGUGUUCCAAAUGAUUUAUCGCCGUAGGAUGGGACUGCGGCCUAUCAGUUUGUUGGUGAGGUAAUGGCCCACCAAGACUAUUACAGGUACGGGCUCUGAGAGGAGUAGCCCGGAGAUGGGUACUGAGACACGGACCCAGGCCCUAUGGGGCGCAGCAGGCGAGAAAACUUUGCAAUGUGCGAAAGCACGACAAGGUUAAUCCGAGUGAUUUGUGCUAAACGAAUCUUUUGUU